This 126-nucleotide small RNA is filed under the name Salmonella enterica subsp. enterica serovar Newport. Its description in RNAcentral is "RtT sRNA". It matches the Rfam family "RtT RNA". From Rfam's summary of the family: This family represents a bacterial cis-regulatory element known as RtT RNA. The exact function of RtT is unknown although it is thought that it may be involved in changing the cellular response in relation to amino acid starvation. Lineage: Bacteria; Pseudomonadati; Pseudomonadota; Gammaproteobacteria; Enterobacterales; Enterobacteriaceae. The record is from RNAcentral.
UUGCUAUCUGCGAUAUGGAAGAUUCGAACCUGCCGCAGGUCCGGGUCUCACGCAGUGAGACAACGGAGCCGUUUGCGGCGACGGCCCGAAGGGCGAGCGAAGCGAGUCAUCCUGCACGACCCACCA